AGAGUUUGAUUCUGGCUCAGAGUGAACGCUGGCGGCGUGCUUAACACAUGCAAGUCGAACGGUAACAGGUCUUUCGGGAUGCUGACGAGUGGCGAACGGGUGAGUAAUACAUCGGAACGUGCCUAGUAGUGGGGGAUAACUACUCGAAAGAGUGGCUAAUACCGCAUGAGAUCUAUGGAUGAAAGCAGGGGACCUUCGGGCCUUGUGCUACUAGAGCGGCCGAUGGCAGAUUAGGUAGUUGGUGGGAUAAAAGCUUACCAAGCCGACGAUCUGUAGCUGGUCUGAGAGGACGAUCAGCCACACUGGGACUGAGACACGGCCCAGACUCCUACGGGAGGCAGCAGUGGGGAAUUUUGGACAAUGGGGGAAACCCUGAUCCAGCAAUGCCGCGUGCAGGAUGAAGGCCUUCGGGUUGUAAACUGCUUUUGUACGGAACGAAAAGUCUUGGGCUAAUACCCUGGGAUCAUGACGGUACCGUAAGAAUAAGCACCGGCUAACUCCGUGCCAGCAGCCGCGGUAAU
Molecule: ribosomal RNA, 521 nt
Filed under: uncultured beta proteobacterium
Lineage: Bacteria; Pseudomonadati; Pseudomonadota; Betaproteobacteria
Description: bacterial SSU rRNA
Rfam family: Bacterial small subunit ribosomal RNA
Source: RNAcentral